RNAcentral lists this ribosomal RNA (460 nucleotides) under uncultured bacterium. RNAcentral describes it as "partial 16S ribosomal RNA". It matches the Rfam family "Bacterial small subunit ribosomal RNA", at positions 338 to 795 of the family's 1533-position model. The record is from RNAcentral.
CCUACGGUGAGCAGCCGUGAGGAAUAUUGGUCAAUGGGCGAGAGCCUGAACCAGCCAAGUCGCGUUAGUGACGACGGUCCUACGGAUUGUAAACCUCUUUUGUCAUGGAGCAAGGAGCGCCACGAGUGGUGCGGCGAGAGUACCUGAAGAAAAAGCAUCGGCUAACUCCGUGCCAGCAGCCGCGGUAAUACGGAGGAUUCGAGCGUUAUUCGGAUUUAUUGGGGUUAAGGGGUGCGCAGGCGGAAGCGGCAAGUCAGCGGUAAAAGUGCGGGUCUCAAACUCGCCGAGCCGGUGAAACGGCCCUUCUAGAGUGGGCGAGAAGGAUGCGGAAGGCGGGGUGUAGCGGUGAAAUUCAUAGAGAUCACGGAGAAUUCCGAUUGCGAAGGCAGCAUACCGGCGCCCAACUGACGCUCAUGCACGAAAGCGUGGGUAUCGAACAGGAUUAGAUACCCUUGUAGUC